CUACGGGUGGCACCAGUGAGGAAUAUUGCACAAUGGGGGGAACCCUGAUGCAGCAACGCCGCGUGGAGGAUGACGCAUUUCGGUGUGUAAACUCCUUUUAUAUGUCAAGAAAAUGACGGUAGCAUAUGAAUAAGCACCGGCGUAACUCCGUGCCAGCAGCCGAGGUAAUACGGAGGGUGCAAGCGUUACUCGGAAUCACUGGGCGUAAAGGACGCGUAGGCGGGUUGGAAAGUCAGGUGUGAAAUCCUACAGCUUAACUGUAGAACUGCACUUGAAACUUCUAAUCUAGAGUAUGGGAGGGGGAGAUGGAAUUAGUGGUGUAGGGGUAAAAUCCGUAGAUAUCACUAGGAAUACCUAAAGCGAAGGCGAUCUCUUGGAACAUUACUGACGCUAAGGCGUGAAAGCGUGGGGAGCAAACAGGAUUAGAUACCCGCGUAGUC
This 440-nucleotide ribosomal RNA is filed under the name uncultured bacterium. RNAcentral describes it as "partial 16S ribosomal RNA". It matches the Rfam family "Bacterial small subunit ribosomal RNA", at positions 339 to 795 of the family's 1533-position model. The record is from RNAcentral.